CUAUUUAUACACAUUUAGACCAGUAUUUUCGUAUCUUACACUUCAUUCAUAUAAGGACUCUUUCUUUUUAUUUAUUUUAUUUUUUUACUAAUUUUUUUUUAAAAAUGUGAAUUUUAGAAUAUAUGGAGUGUUAGAUAUAUAUUUAUAUAGAGAGAGAUAGUUUGUCUACUAUAUUUUAUGAAUAUAGACCUUUUUGUACUCAUAAAUUUUUUUUUUGAAAAAAUGUACUUAUAAAUUUUUGACUAUUAGAUUUACUUCUUUGGUCAUUUUCACGCUUAAAUCAUGCCAUUCAACCAACCAUCCACUUAACUCUAAGGGACCACUAUCAUCCUAGCCGCACAUCUCUUCAUUCAAUAGUCGAAAAUUUAUGAGUACAAAAAAGUCUAUACUUAUAAGAGUAUAUACAGUAGCUCUGGUAUAUAUAUAUAGAGAGAGAGAGAGAGAGAGAGAGUCCGACUGAGAUGUUCCUAAUAGUACAACAUUUAGUGCUAUCAACUUUUCUAUUGUUAGAUUUACCUUUUUGAUUAUUUCAAUCUGCUAAAUUAUACUAUCCAACCAACCAUCCACUCAAUCCGAUGGGACUACUAUCAACUUAACCGCACAUCUUUUCAUCCAAUGACUAAAAAGCCUAAUAGCACGAAUAACUUGGUGUUAUUAGAAGUAUAUAUAUUCCAGUCUAAUUAUAUAUAUAUAAUUGAGCUCCUAUAUUUCUAAAAGUAUCAAGUUAUUGAUGCUUAUAGAUUUUCGGCCCUUGGAUUAAGGGCUAUUUGGUUAAGACGAUAAUAAUCUCUUAUGGUUGGGUGGGUGGUUAGUUUAAUAAU
RNAcentral lists this long non-coding RNA (821 nucleotides) under Ananas comosus (pineapple). Its description in RNAcentral is "long non-coding RNA (ACOM_LNC000030)". The record is from RNAcentral. Lineage: Eukaryota; Viridiplantae; Streptophyta; Magnoliopsida; Poales; Bromeliaceae.